RNAcentral lists this ribosomal RNA (484 nucleotides) under uncultured bacterium. Its description in RNAcentral is "partial 16S ribosomal RNA". It matches the Rfam family "Bacterial small subunit ribosomal RNA", at positions 30 to 507 of the family's 1533-position model. The record is from RNAcentral.
AUUGAACGCUGGCGGCAGGCCUAACACAUGCAAGUCGAGCGGAUGAAGGGAGCUUGCUCCUGGAUUCAGCGGCGGACGGGUGAGUAAUGCCUAGGAAUCUGCCUGGUAGUGGGGGAUAACGUCCGGAAACGGGCGCUAAUACCGCAUGCGUCCUGAGGGAGAAAGUGGGGGAUCUUCGGACCUCACGCUAUCAGAUGAGCCUAGGUCGGAUUAGCUAGUUGGUGGGGUAAAGGCCUACCAAGGCGACGAUCCGUAACUGGUCUGAGAGGAUGAUCAGUCACACUGGAACUGAGACACGGUCCAGACUCCUACGGGAGGCAGCAGUGGGGAAUAUUGGACAAUGGGCGAAAGCCUGAUCCAGCCAUGCCGCGUGUGUGAAGAAGGUCCUCGGAUUGUAAAGCACUUUAAGUUGGGAGGAAGGGCAGUAAGUUAAUACCUUGCUGUUUUGACGUUACCAACAGAAUAAGCACCGGCUAACUUCGUG